GCGGGGGUGAAUUGGUGUUGUUUCAAAAUACUUUCAUUUUGCAAUCUUCUAAACAAAGUAUAAAGCUUUUUGAAAUUUCUUGAAUUGCAAGCAAUCAGAAUAUGUAUGCAGCGGAAAUUACGUAGUUGACUGCGUAAAGAAUAAAGUCGACUGGAAUGUAAAAGAUAAGGGAUAGAGAAUUGCAAACAUAGAUUUUUAUACUGGUUCGGCCAACAAUUACAUCUAGUGUCCUUCCAACCCAAGAAGCAAAUGCACUAUAAUGGUUGUAGUUUUUAAAACAAAGAAUUUAUAGAAGACCUCCACGUCAAAAAUAUAAAUCUCCUCACUAACUGAUGAGCUGUCGCGGCCCAUACAAAUUUGAUUGCAUAUUAGGAAUGCAGUAUAGCUAGGGAAUGACCCCUAGGUCGUCUCUCAAGGACCAAAUGUGGUUCGAGAAUUAGGUCUAACACAAAGUGGGGGGGGGGUUGAGAGUGUUUUUGCAAGGAGAAUUAAAUUAAAUUAAAACUGGAAUUUAAACGCAACCAAACAUAAUUGAAAACACUGAAAGUAAAUGAAAAUACUGGAAUAAAUCAUUCAAUUCAAUGUAGGUAAAUCAUCAUUAAAACAAUAAGUUAAAAAUACUUGAAAAGUAAAAAUAAAAUAAAAUAAAUAAAACUGUAUGCUUAACCAAAUUAAAGUAGAGAUUUUUCCNAAGCCAUAAAGGUAAGAAAAACACAUCUAGUACCAAGAACUAGAAUAAACGGUGCUAGCUACCUAAAAACCCGUGACCAUGAGCUUAAAUCAACAAAUUAAUCUAAUUGCAAAGUGUUGGCCGUAACAUUACUUCAUCAAAUAAUAAGCAUCGCUGCAGCAACGUGCUCAUCAAAAAUCUCCACCAAAGAAAGAGGAAUAAAAUCCCGUGACAGCAGAGCAGUUGUGUGCAUCAUUCAAUCAAUAUGCUUCUUACUAAAAGCCCAAAAAAAAUAUGUGAUGAAAUCAAAAUGCCUCUCCUGGACAUCCCUGGUCGUGCCAUAUGCUGCACAUCAAUUCUCCAAGCAAAU
Molecule: long non-coding RNA, 1040 nt
Filed under: Vigna radiata
Lineage: Eukaryota; Viridiplantae; Streptophyta; Magnoliopsida; Fabales; Fabaceae
Description: long non-coding RNA (VRAD_LNC003607)
Source: RNAcentral